Sander lucioperca (pikeperch) is the source of this 971-nucleotide long non-coding RNA. RefSeq lists it as uncharacterized. NCBI's taxonomy places the organism in Eukaryota, Metazoa, Chordata, Actinopteri, Perciformes, Percidae. The record is from RefSeq and is a predicted model, not a curated record. The transcript is spliced from 4 exons.
CUAGUGGCUUUACAGGUGUCGUAAUGCAGGAAAAGUAUGUUUACACCUUACACAGACCAUUUAAAGCUAAUAUUAACAUUGAGUCAGCUGUUUUCUUUUACAAAUAUGAGUCAUAAUGGGUCUGACCUUGCUUGAAAUGUGACUCUGUUUGUGAAUUAAACCCAGCUGACACUUUCAGAGUUAGUGACACACUGGAUUUCCAUUGAUUGCGCAACAAAUCUAAAUAAAAAGGACAGCCCAUCCUCACCCUGACAACAACAGUAUAAAGGAAGCUUGCAGCCUGGCAGAAACCAUCUGAGGUAUCAACACUCAACAGGGACAAUUUACCAGGUAAGAUAUAUUUAAGGUUUUUCAUAUGUGCAUGAUUAAAGUACUCCCAGCUGAAUGUGACAUUUGAUUUCUCACAAUUUUCCACCUUUGCUUUAUUCAAACAAAGAUCGGUGUACACGUGAAAACAUGAAGACUGUGAUUCUUGCUAUAGUGGUGUUGCUGGUUGUCAGCCAGGCUGAAGCCUUGACGUGUUGGUGUGGAGGCUCGAGGAAAUGUUUAGGCCGCACAGAGGUCUGCACUGGCUCCAACAACGUCUGUGCCAGUGUCAGAUAUGAUCAAAACCUAUAGGCCGUUCCUUCAGUGUACUGUUCAGCUAAAAACAAUAGGGACAGAAAUACAUACCAGUUCAGAGUGAUUACUUUCUUUGAAAACUUGUAGAAGUUGUCUAAUAAUACAUCCUGUGUUUUUCCAUGUGUUCACAGCUAUGAACAACUUCCAUGGUUGCUACACUGAAAGUUCCUGCAGGAGCCUGGAUCGUCCUGGAGUAGCAUCUUCCAAAUUCUGCAAGACUGACCUUUGUCAGUGAUUAAUGAAUCUUACGCAACACAUUUUUCAGUGACUGAACAAUCUGAAUAAAUGUAUAUGUGUUGUGUACUUUUGCAUUGUCAUAAUAAAGAUCAAUCAAUUGCAACUUUUGUCCU